This 460-nucleotide ribosomal RNA is filed under the name uncultured bacterium. RNAcentral's name for it is "partial 16S ribosomal RNA". It matches the Rfam family "Bacterial small subunit ribosomal RNA", at positions 338 to 795 of the family's 1533-position model. The record is from RNAcentral.
CCUACGGGGGGCUGCAGUGAGGAAUAUUGGUCAAUGGACGAGAGUCUGAACCAGCCAAGUAGCGUGAAGGAUGACUGCCCUAUGGGUUGUAAACUUCUUUUAUAUGGGAAUAAAAUGUUCCACGUGUGGGAUUUUGUAUGUACCAUAUGAAUAAGGAUCGGCUAACUCCGUGCCAGCAGCCGCGGUAAUACGGAGGAUCCGAGUGUUAUCCGGAUUUAUUGGGUUUAAAGGGAGCGUAGGUGGAUUGUUAAGUCAGUUGUGAAAGUUUGCGGCUCAACCGUAAAAUUGCAGUUGAAACUGGCAGUCUUGAGUACAGUAGAGGUGGGCGGAAUUCGUGGUGUAGCGGUGAAAUGCUUAGAUAUCACGAAGAACUCCGAUUGCGAAGGCAGUUCACUGGACUGCAACUGACACUGAGGCUCGAAAGUGUGGGUAUCAAACAGGAUUAGAUACCCGUGUAGUC